This 211-nucleotide unclassified non-coding RNA is filed under the name plant metagenome. RNAcentral describes it as "partial contains small subunit ribosomal RNA, internal transcribed spacer 1, and 5.8S ribosomal RNA". The record is from RNAcentral.
GUUCCGUAGGUGAACCUGCGGAAGGAUCAUUCAUAGUAAAGUGUUUUAUGGCACUUUUUAAAAAUCCAUAUCCACCUUGUGUGCAAUGUUAGAUCUCGUCAAUCUUGGCGAGAUUUUUAUACAUCAACUCAUUUUUUAACUAAUUUGUCUGAAAAAUAUUAUGAAUACUUAAUUCAAAAUACAACUUUCAACAACGGAUCUCUUGGCUCUC